GGCACGUAGUAAGCGCUUGGCACGUAGUAAGCGCUUAAGUCUCACGAUUAUUAUUAUUAUAAGUGAGGGGGCUAGGAUUUGAAUCCAGGUCCUUUGAUUCCCAGACUCGCGGGCCCUUCCCCGCUUCCUCAGCUCUCCAAACCUACCGAGUCGAAUCAGCGGUGCGGCCAGUUGGGGUCUGUUCCCCCGGUUUCCGUUCCACAGCUGCCGUCCACAACGAGUCUCCCGCAGAGAUGAUGAUAACCUUCCCCAGAUCACGAAGGUGGGACGGCACCGCAGCCUGACCGCCCUGGGCCUGCUGCUGACGUGCGGCUUCCUGGACGCCGCCUGGACCGUGGCCUGGGUCCCCUCGGCCUGGGAGGGACCGUGGGGAGCAGACUCCCGGGGGGACUCCACCGACAGGACCGGCGGACCCACCAACUGCUCAGGUACCACCAAGGGAGGACCCUCGGUCUGCAGAGGCCCACGCGGGCGAGCAGGGAGGCCCGGAGACACCGGCGGGCUUCCGGGAAAGACGCCUGGAGGUGGAGGGGUGGCGUCGCCGCGCCGUGCAACUCUGGGCACCCCAGGGCACGGCCCGGCCACGACAACGGGGGAUUUCAGAGGUGAGGGCGCCGCCGCUCCCACCAUCCACCCACCCGCCACACUUGCAGGGGCGGCAGACGAUGGGAACCUGUCGCUUCCGGGGCAGCAGAGAGGGAUCGGGCCUAGUCGGGGACCAUCGGUUACCAUUCUAGAAGAACCAAGCUCCCGAGUGGAGUGGCGAGGCCAUCAUUCCGCCAACUCCUCUGCCCACACGGCCCUGUCCGCUGCCCCGGGACCAUCUGUCAAGACCGUUUCCCCGUCUUCUUCCGUUGGCUCAGCAACGCAAGUCGGCUGGCGCUUUCCGGCCUGCCGCCAGCACCCCCUGAAGCGCCUUCCCCUGGACCGCCUUCCCCAGACACCCUUUUGGGGGGGGGGGGAGGAGGGGCGGGAGGGGUACCCCCAUCUCCCAGGACACUUCCGGGCCUCGAGGUCCCUGUCCGGCCCCACUUCGCUCCAUCCGGAGGAGCAUUUUAGUGACAGUCACCAACCAGGCCUCCCCCCAGCUGGCACUGCGGUGCCCUCUGUACCCACUUGUCCCCCACCCCUCUGUCCCCCCAGGAGCCAAGAAAAGCCAGCCAGGGCUGCCGGCCCUAGGGCCCAGGUCCACGUCUUUCCCCCGGUGAUCCUACCCCUAUCUGCCUCUGCCGCUCCUGCCCGGCCUCCCCCGCACCCUCCACCUUCCCCCUGCCACCCCAGCUCCCCCCACACCUGACCUCUCCCCCAUCUGUCCGGCCCUCCGCUCUCUGCCCGCCUCUAGGGUUCCCCAUCUCCCCCGGAGGCCGAAGAGACUCUAGAGAAGCAGCGUGGCUCGGUGGAAAGAGCCCGGGCUUGGGAGUCGGAGGUCAAGGAUUCGAAUCCCGGCUCUGCCGCUUGUCAGCUGUGUGACUGUGGGCAAAUCACUUCGCUUCUCUGUGCCUCAGUUUCCUCAUCUGUAAAUUGGGGAUUAAGACUGUGAGCCUCACGUGGGACAACCUGAUUACCCUGAUUACCCCAGAGCUUAGAACAGUGCUCUGCACCUAGUAAGCACUUAACAAAUACCAACAUUAUUAUUAUUUUUACAUCACACGAGCAACCUUUUACCAAGGCUUUAAUGUGGCUAUAAAAAAGGCAUUGACUGUGGUUUCCUAUCUCCUCUCAAUGUGCCCCGCCCAAAUAAAACAGAUGGAGGGGGUUCAGUUUCUAAAACAUUGAAAUCCUAACGUUGACACAGUGUAAAGCGAAAGGUAACAGACCCACCUCCUCCCAUAUCACGGUAAGACCUCCAAAGAUUCCCCUACCCCGUCUCCGGUUUCUUUUCCUUUUUCCCAGGCAAUCUGGAACCACAGACCAAAUUACACUGUACCACCGGCUUGGUUUGUUUAGGGAUUUUUUUCUUUUUUUAACCAUACAAUCAGUUUUGAUUUCGGGAAGUGAAUAUGCUAACUGUACUCUUGUGUUUUCUUUAAAAGUUUCCAGUCCGACUACCAGUAGACAGACGGGCUCAGCAAAUAUUGCAAAAUAUUUCAGAAAUAAAUAA
This 2101-nucleotide long non-coding RNA is filed under the name Ornithorhynchus anatinus (platypus). Its description in RNAcentral is "lncRNA (ENSOANG00000042969.1)". The record is from RNAcentral. Lineage: Eukaryota; Metazoa; Chordata; Mammalia; Monotremata; Ornithorhynchidae.